UUGCAUUUGAAACUGGAAAACUAGAGUGUGUGAGAGGGGGGGUAGAAUUCCAAGUGUAGCGGUGAAAUGCGUAGAGAUUGGGAGGAAUACCAGUGGCGAAGGCGGCCCCCUGGCACAACACUGACGCUCAGGUGCGAAAGCGUGGGGAGCAAACAGGAUUAGAUACCCUGGUAGUCCACGCCGUAAACGAUGUCUACUAGCUGUUCGUGACCUUGUGUCGUGAGUAGCGCAGCUAACGCACUAAGUAGACCGCCUGGGGAGUACGGUCGCAAGAUUAAAACUCAAAUGAAUUGACGGGGGCCCGCACAAGCGGUGGAGCAUGUGGUUUAAUUCGACGCAACGCGAAGAACCUUACCUACUCUUGACAUCCAGAGAAGACUGCAGAGAUGCGGUUGUGCCUUCGGGAACUCUGAGACAGGUGCUGCAUGGCUGUCGUCAGCUCGUGUUGUGAAAUGUUGGGUUAAGUCCCGCAACGAGCGCAACCCUUAUCCUUAGUUGCCAGCGCGUAAUGGCGGGAACUCUAGGGAGACUGCCGGUGAUAAACCGGAGGAAGGUGGGGACGACGUCAAGUCAUCAUGGCCCUUACGAGUAGGGCUACACACGUGCUACAAUGGUAUGUACAGAGGGAGGCAAGCUGGCGACAGUGAGCGGAUCUCUUAAAGCAUAUCGUAGUCCGGAUCGCAGUCUGCAACUCGACUGCGUGAAGUCGGAAUCGCUAGUAAUCGCAAAUCAGAAUGUUGCGGUGAAUACGUUCCCGGGCCUUGUACACACCGCCCGUCACACCAUGGGAGUGGGUUGCAAAAGAAGUAGGUAGCUUAACCUUCGGGAGGGCGCUUACCACUUUGUGAUUCAUGACUGGGGUGAAGUCGUAACAAGGUAACC
RNAcentral lists this ribosomal RNA (882 nucleotides) under uncultured bacterium. RNAcentral describes it as "bacterial SSU rRNA". It matches the Rfam family "Bacterial small subunit ribosomal RNA", at positions 621 to 1501 of the family's 1533-position model. The record is from RNAcentral.